CCUACGGGAGGCUGCAGUCGAGAAUCAUUCACAAUGGGGGAAACCCUGAUGGUGCGACGCCGCGUGGGGGAAUGAAGGUCUUCGGAUUGUAAACCCCUGUCAUGUGGGAGCAAAUUAAAAAGCUAGAACCACAAGAGGAAGCGACGGCUAACUCUGUGCCAGCAGCCGCGGUAAUACAGAGGUCUCAAGCGUUGUUCGGAAUCACUGGGCGUAAAGCGUGCGUAGGCUGUUUCGUAAGUCGUGUGUGAAAGGCGCGGGCUCAACCCGCGGACGGCACAUGAUACUGCGAGACUAGAGUAAUGGAGGGGGAACCGGAAUUCUCGGUGUAGCAGUGAAAUGCGUAGAUAUCGAGAGGAACACUCGUGGCGAAGGCGGGUUCCUGGACAUUAACUGACGCUGAGGCACGAAGGCCAGGGGAGCGAAAGGGAUUAGAUACCCUAGUAGUC
This 446-nucleotide ribosomal RNA is filed under the name uncultured bacterium. Its description in RNAcentral is "partial 16S ribosomal RNA". It matches the Rfam family "Bacterial small subunit ribosomal RNA", at positions 338 to 795 of the family's 1533-position model. The record is from RNAcentral.